AGCUUUGCGCAGUGGCAGUAUCGUAGCCAAUGAGGUUUAUCCGAGGCGCGAUUAUUGCUAAUUGAAAUCUAGACUUCAGUGGCAGAUAUUUGGCCCAAUGUUAAGAUG
Small nuclear RNA from Oryctolagus cuniculus (rabbit), 108 nucleotides. Its record names the gene U4. It matches the Rfam family "U4 spliceosomal RNA". Rfam says of the family: U4 small nuclear RNA (U4 snRNA) is a component of the major U2-dependent spliceosome. The structure of U4 snRNA from yeast and human has been reported. Lineage: Eukaryota; Metazoa; Chordata; Mammalia; Lagomorpha; Leporidae. The record is from Ensembl.